RNAcentral lists this small RNA (158 nucleotides) under Dasypus novemcinctus (nine-banded armadillo). RNAcentral's name for it is "TUC338 (ENSDNOG00000036335.1)". The record is from RNAcentral. Lineage: Eukaryota; Metazoa; Chordata; Mammalia; Cingulata; Dasypodidae.
UUGACCACACUGAAGACUGAAAUGCUCUAUUUAUCCACAGAACAGAUACAGCCCGGAAAACGCCAAUGUAAUGUGCCAAUGUGCCUAAACCCUGAGCUGGAGGGACAGCCAUUGAGGAUGAGAGGUUAGUUCCCAUGCUGACUCUCACUGUAGGAGCU